Molecule: ribosomal RNA, 1360 nt
Filed under: Salmonella enterica
Lineage: Bacteria; Pseudomonadati; Pseudomonadota; Gammaproteobacteria; Enterobacterales; Enterobacteriaceae
Description: partial 23S ribosomal RNA
Rfam family: Bacterial large subunit ribosomal RNA
Source: RNAcentral
CCCUGCUUCCAGGAAAAGCCUCUAAGCCUCAGGUAACAUCAAAUCGUACCCCAAACCGACACAGGUGGUCAGGUAGAGAAUACCAAGGCGCUUGAGAGAACUCGGGUGAAGGAACUAGGCAAAAUGGUGCCGUAACUUCGGGAGAAGGCACGCUGACACGUAGGUGAAGUGGUUUACCCAUGGAGCUGAAGUCAGUCGAAGAUACCAGCUGGCUGCAACUGUUUAUUAAAAACACAGCACUGUGCAAACACGAAAGUGGACGUAUACGGUGUGACGCCUGCCCGGUGCCGGAAGGUUAAUUGAUGGGGUCAGCGCAAGCGAAGCUCCUGAUCGAAGCCCCGGUAAACGGCGGCCGUAACUAUAACGGUCCUAAGGUAGCGAAAUUCCUUGUCGGGUAAGUUCCGACCUGCACGAAUGGCGUAAUGAUGGCCAGGCUGUCUCCACCCGGGACUCAGUGAAAUUGAACUCGCUGUGAAGAUGCAGUGUACCCGCGGCAAGACGGAAAGACCCCGUGAACCUUUACUAUAGCUUGACACUGAACACUGGUCCUUGAUGUGCAGGAUAGGUGGGAGGCUUUGAAGUGUGGACGCCAGUCUGCAUGGAGCCAUCCUUGAAAUACCACCCUUUAAUGGCUGGUGUUCUAACGUGGGCCCGUGAACCGGGUUGCGGACAGUGUCUGGUGGGUAGUUUGACUGGGGCGGUCUCCUCCUAAAGAGUAACGGAGGAGCACGAAGGUUGGCUAAUCCUGGUCGGACAUCAGGAGGUUAGUGCAAUGGCAUAAGCCAGCUUGACUGCGAGCGUGACGGCGCGAGCAGGUGCGAAAGCAGGUCAUAGUGAUCCGGUGGUUCUGAAUGGAAGGGCCAUCGCUCAACGGAUAAAAGGUACUCCGGGGAUAACAGGCUGAUACCGCCCAAGAGUUCAUAUCGACGGCGGUGUUUGGCACCUCGAUGUCGGCUCAUCACAUCCUGGGGCUGAAGUAGGUCCCAAGGGUAUGGCUGUUCGCCAUUUAAAGUGGUACGCGAGCUGGGUUUAGAACGUCGUGAGACAGUUCGGUCCCUAUCUGCCGUGGGCGCUGGAAGAUUGAGGGGGGCUGCUCCUAGUACGAGAGGACCGGAGUGGACGCAUCACUGGUGUUCGGGUUGUCAUGCCAAUGGCACUGCCCGGUAGCUACAUGCGGAAGAGAUAAGUGCUGAAAGCAUCUAAGCACGAAACUUGCCCCGAGAUGAAUCUUCCCUGAGCCUUUAAGGCUCCUGAAGGAACGUUGAAGACGACGACGUUGAUAGGCCGGGUGUGUAAGCGCAGCGAUGCGUUGAGCUAACCGGUACUAAUGAACCGUGAGGCUUAACCUUACAACGCCGAA